GGGGUAAUGGCCUACCAAGGCAACGACGGGUAGCUGGUCUGAGAGGAUGAUCAGCCACACUGGGACUGAGACACAGCCCAGACUCCUACGGGAGGCAGCAGUGGGGAAUCUUGCGCAAUGGGCGAAAGCCUGACGCAGCAACGCCGCGUGCGGGAUGAAGGCCUUCGGGCUGUAAACCGCUUUCAGCAGGAACGAAAAUGACGGUACCUGCAGAAGAAGGAGCGGCCAACUACGUGCCAGCAGCCGCGGUGACACAUAGGCUCCAAGCGUUGUCCGGAUUUAUUGGGCGUAAAGAGCUCGUAGGCGGUUGAGUAAGUCGGGUGUGAAAACUCUGGGCUUAACCCGGAGACGCCAUCCGAUACUGCUCUGACUAGAGUUCAGGAGGGGAGUGGGGAAUUCCUAGUGUAGCGGUGAAAUGCGCAGAUAUUAGGAGGAACACCGGUGGCGAAGGCGCCACUCUGGACUGAAACUGACGCUGAGGAGCGAAAGCAUGGGUAGCAAACAGGAUUAGAUACCCUGGUAGUCCAUGCCGUAAACGGUGGGCACUAGGUGUGGGUUCCAACUAACGGGAUCCGCGCCGUCGCUAACGCAUUAAGUGCCCCGCCUGGGGAG
RNAcentral lists this ribosomal RNA (612 nucleotides) under uncultured bacterium. Its description in RNAcentral is "bacterial SSU rRNA". It matches the Rfam family "Bacterial small subunit ribosomal RNA", at positions 254 to 880 of the family's 1533-position model. The record is from RNAcentral.